GGAGGGGUGUGGAGAAUGGUAUUCCAGCGGUCUUGAAAACCGUCGCGCGCAAGCGCUUGCAGGUUCGAGUCCUGUCCCCUCCG
Molecule: transfer RNA, 83 nt
Filed under: Minisyncoccota bacterium
Lineage: Bacteria; Bacillati; Minisyncoccota
Description: tRNA-Ser
Rfam family: tRNA
About the family: Transfer RNA (tRNA) molecules are approximately 80 nucleotides in length. Their secondary structure includes four short double-helical elements and three loops (D, anti-codon, and T loops).
Source: RNAcentral